CAGUAGCCACGGUAAUACGAAGGUCCCGAGCGUUGUUCGGAAUCACUGGGCGUAAAGGGAGCGUAGGCGGCGUGGUAAGUCGGAUGUGAAAUCCCGGGGCUCAACCCCGGAACUGCAUCCGAUACUGCCAUGCUAGAGGAUUGGAGAGGUAGCUGGAAUUCUUGGUGUAGCAGUGAAAUGCGUGGAGAUCAAGAGGAACACUCGUGGCGAAAGCGAGCUACUGGACAAUAACUGACGCUGAGGCUCGAAGGCCAGGGUAGCGAAAGGGAUUAGAUACCCCCGUAGUCCCUGUCUCUUAUAC
RNAcentral lists this ribosomal RNA (301 nucleotides) under uncultured bacterium. RNAcentral's name for it is "partial 16S ribosomal RNA". It matches the Rfam family "Bacterial small subunit ribosomal RNA", at positions 509 to 807 of the family's 1533-position model. The record is from RNAcentral.